This 29-nucleotide non-coding RNA is filed under the name Rattus norvegicus (Norway rat). Lineage: Eukaryota; Metazoa; Chordata; Mammalia; Rodentia; Muridae. The record is from RNAcentral.
UUUAAAGAGGAUAGGAUGCUACAGGUGGA